This 459-nucleotide ribosomal RNA is filed under the name uncultured bacterium. Its description in RNAcentral is "partial 16S ribosomal RNA". It matches the Rfam family "Bacterial small subunit ribosomal RNA", at positions 338 to 795 of the family's 1533-position model. The record is from RNAcentral.
CCUACGGGCGGCAGCAGUGAGGAAUAUUGGUCAAUGGGCGGAAGCCUGAACCAGCCAAGUAGCGUGCAGGAUGACGGCCCUACGGGUUGUAAACUGCUUUUAUACGGGAAUAACGCGCCUUACGUGUAGGGCUUUGCAUGUACCGUAUGAAUAAGGACCGGCUAAUUCCGUGCCAGCAGCCGCGGUAAUACGGAAGGUCCGGGCGUUAUCCGGAUUAUUGGGGUUAAAGGGAGCGUAGGCCGCAUGUCAAGCGUGCUGUGAAAUGUCCGGGCUCAACCCGGGCCUUGUAGCGCGAACUGGCGUGCUUGAGUCCGCGGAAAGCAGGCGGAAUUCGUCGUGUAGCGGUGAAAUGCUUAGAUAUGACGAAGAACCCCGAUUGCGAAGGCAGCUUGCUGCAGCGGAACUGACGCUGAUGCUCGAAAGCGCGGGUAUCGAACAGGAUUAGAUACCCCAGUAGUC